Salmo salar (Atlantic salmon) is the source of this 54-nucleotide non-coding RNA. NCBI's taxonomy places the organism in Eukaryota, Metazoa, Chordata, Actinopteri, Salmoniformes, Salmonidae. The record is from Rfam.
CUGUGGUAGCCAUGUAAGUCACUCUGGAUAAGAGCGUCUGCUAAAUGACUUAAA